This 1357-nucleotide long non-coding RNA is filed under the name Mus spicilegus (steppe mouse). RNAcentral describes it as "lncRNA (ENSMSIG00000003780.1)". Lineage: Eukaryota; Metazoa; Chordata; Mammalia; Rodentia; Muridae. The record is from RNAcentral.
AAGAGAGAGAGAGAGAGAGAGAGAGAGAGAGAGAGAGAGAGAGAGAGAGAGAGAGAGAGGAAGAAGAAGGAGGAGGACUAGGAGGAGGAAAACAAAGAGGAAGCAGAGGAAAAGGAAGAGAAAGAGGAAGAGGAAAAGGAAGAAGGAAUGAAGACUCUUUGUUGCACAUACCAAGUUACUAACAGGGAGGGAACAAUGAGGCAGCUGCUUGCUGCUCUGGACCAGAAUCUGAACAACAAAAAGGAUGCCUUUGGUGGUAAAGCAUAAAGAAUUGUUCAAGGAGGGAAGGUUUGUGUUCUCAGAUGUGUCCAGAAAGUACUGUACAACAGCACAAAGCUGAGAGAAGAGAGGGGGAUGUCAGAACUACAGAUGGCAAGAAAAAGUAAAGGACUGUAUCGGAGGAGCAGAUGUAACUCCCUCCCCUCCUCUCAGCCCACUCAAGAACAGGCCUGAGAUACGAGAGAAGGAGCACUGAGGGCCCAGAGAGAUGGCUUGGUACUUAAGAGCACACAUUGUUCUCACAGAGGACCUGAGUUCUGUCUCAGUGCCCACAUUAUGUGGCUCACAAUGUAUCCUCUGAUACAAUUAAAAAAAAAAAAACUCUUCAAAAGGAGGAAUGCUGAACUGGGAAUUCUGAGAGCCCACAAGAAGAGGGUGAACUCAGUGGAUGGUUCUCAGAAAAAGCAGGUCUACACAGUUUCUCACUCAUCAGUCCAGAUAUCGGAAGCACAGAACACUGAUCUUUAAAGACGAGGAGUUGUCUGCUUCCUGGGCGUGGGUUGGAGGAAAAGGGACAACUGUUAGCAUCAUCUGGACUAGAUGCAUCUCAGAAAAACAACAGCAACAACAACAGCAGCAACAGCAACAGCAAAAAGAGAAACAACAGCAACAACAGAACAGCAACAGCAGCAACAACAGUAACGACAGCAACAAUAACAGCCAAAAACCGAAAAUGGCUUGAUUUAGCCCAGCCAAAGCUGGAGAAAAGGAAAUUUUCAGUCUGCCCUGCUGUGCCUACAGCAGUGUUACAACUUACAGAAGAGAGAAACUAAAGCCAGGAAACACGCACAUGUCAUUUAGCUGUGGUCCUGGACACAGGAACAGACAAAGAGGCUUUUUCAUGGUUCUACUCAGCACAGUAUUUCCUACAGGCUUCCUGUGGUGGUUUCAGUGAGACUCAUCCCAAAAGCUUAUGUAUGUGACUGCUUGAUUCCCAGUGGAAUUGCUUGAGAAGGAUUAGAUGUGGCCUUGCUGGAGUAAGUAUGGCCUUGUUGGAGUAAUUGUGUUUUGGGAGUGGGCUUUGGGGUUUCAAAUUCGCUUGCUGGGCCCAGUCUCUCUCUCUCUCUCUCUCUCUCUC